UUAACUCAAAUAUGUAUGGAGUUGGAGCGUUUGCCUACGUUUGCCGCUAGGGGCGCUGUUCCAACUUCAUACAAAUUUUAGUUA
Molecule: non-coding RNA, 84 nt
Organism: Bombyx mori (domestic silkworm)
Lineage: Eukaryota; Metazoa; Arthropoda; Insecta; Lepidoptera; Bombycidae
Source: Rfam